AACGAACGCUGGCGGCAGGCUUAACACAUGCAAGUUGAGCGGGAUUUAUUUGAUAGCUUGCUAUUAGAUAAUGAGAGCAGCGCACUGGUGAGUAACACGUGGGAACAUACCUUUUGGUGGGGACAACAGUUGGAAACGACUGCUAAUACCGCAUAAGCCCUGAGGGGGAAAGAUUCAUUGCCGAAAGAUUGGCCCGCGGAAGAUUAGGUAGUUGGUGGGGUAACGGCCUACCAAGCCAACGAUCUAUAGCUGGUCUGAGAGGACGAUCAGCCACAUUGGGACUGAGACACGGCCCAGACUCC
RNAcentral lists this ribosomal RNA (302 nucleotides) under Alphaproteobacteria bacterium. Its description in RNAcentral is "bacterial SSU rRNA". It matches the Rfam family "Bacterial small subunit ribosomal RNA", at positions 29 to 339 of the family's 1533-position model. The record is from RNAcentral. Lineage: Bacteria; Pseudomonadati; Pseudomonadota; Alphaproteobacteria.